UUUAAAUGUAAAAAAUAAUACUAAAGUAGUAAUAGUUAUGUUCUUUAAAUUUAAAGAAUUUGGCGGUAUUUUAGUCUUUUCAGAGGAACCUGUUCUGUAAUUGAUAGUCCACGAUUAACUUUACUUGAUUUAAUAAUUUGUAUAUCGUCGUUUAUAAAUGAUUUUAUAAGAAUAAAAAUUUUUAAGAUUUUAAAUUAAAAAAUAUAUCAGAUCAAGGUGCAGUUUAUAAUUAAGAAGAAAUGGGUUACAAUAAAUUUAUUUAUACGGAUAAGUAGAUUAAAUUUUAUUUUGAAGGAGGAUUUGAUAGUAAUAAAAUUUAUUUAAAUUUUAUGAUUUUAGCUCUAAAAUAUGU
RNAcentral lists this ribosomal RNA (352 nucleotides) under Eretes australis. RNAcentral describes it as "partial 12S ribosomal RNA". Lineage: Eukaryota; Metazoa; Arthropoda; Insecta; Coleoptera; Dytiscidae. The record is from RNAcentral.